GGAGUCUGCCAGGCAGUCGCCUUCCUGCGUCCUCAAUGGAAAGGCAGGAGGGAGGAAAGUCCGGGCUCCACGGGCAGGGUGCCAGGUAAUACCUGGAGGAUGUGAGUCCAUGGAAAGUGCAACAGAGAGUAGACCGCCUGGCUGCUUCGCUUGAAUAUCAUUCAGACGGAUGAGCUAGGUAAGGGUGAAACGGUGUGGUAAGAGCGCACCGCACAACUAGUAAUAGUUGUGGCUAGGUAAACCCCACCUGGAGCAAGACCGAAUAGAGGGGCGCGGAAGUAUCCGACAUAUGGCCCGUAUGGCCCCCGGGUAGGUUGCUUGAGGUUCAUGGUGACAUGAAUCCCAGAUGAAUGGCUGCCCAUGACAGAACCCGGCUUACAGGCAGACUCCUACU
Molecule: RNase P RNA, 394 nt
Filed under: Gammaproteobacteria bacterium
Lineage: Bacteria; Pseudomonadati; Pseudomonadota; Gammaproteobacteria
Description: RNase P RNA component class A
Rfam family: Bacterial RNase P class A
About the family: Ribonuclease P (RNase P) is a ubiquitous endoribonuclease, found in archaea, bacteria and eukarya as well as chloroplasts and mitochondria. Its best characterised activity is the generation of mature 5'-ends of tRNAs by cleaving the 5'-leader elements of precursor-tRNAs.
Source: RNAcentral